Pelobates cultripes (western spadefoot toad) is the source of this 539-nucleotide non-coding RNA. The record is from the annotation of a GenBank genome assembly. NCBI's taxonomy places the organism in Eukaryota, Metazoa, Chordata, Amphibia, Anura, Pelobatidae.
CAUGAUUAGAUUGCAAUUUGCUCCGUUUUUGUCUUUUAUAACAUCGCAUUAAUUCUAUUUAUCUCUUUGCCCUCUCUUGCCUUAUCUUUUCCCAUUACAAAUAUGGCGGAUUAUGAGCUUUUCGGACCAAUUAGGACAUAUUAACUACGUUCUCCUUAUUGAAACUAACUAUGGUAAGGGUGUACCGCCCCUUUCCCGAACGGACACUAACCGGAAGUGAUGUUAUGACGCAAACCGGAAGUGACGUUCCGUUGUAAUGACGGAAGUCUCGUGAUUGCCACCGGCGUCCUGUCCAUGCGGCCAUUAUGAAGAGGUCAGUCCCCUAUGGAUAUCAGUGAGGACACAUCACAUAGCCACCAUACUGGAGGAGGAAUGGUACAAACGGAAAUACCAUAAAUGUACAUGUUGGGAGGGGUUUCUGUAAUUAUUUGCAUGUGUUUUGUAUUUUCACUCUGUUUGCAAGGUAUUUAAACCUGUUAUUUUCAUUUGAUUUUAUUGCACCUGGGGAAGACCAGUGUGUUGGUCGAAAUGUGCUGUGC